This 427-nucleotide ribosomal RNA is filed under the name uncultured bacterium. Its description in RNAcentral is "bacterial SSU rRNA". It matches the Rfam family "Bacterial small subunit ribosomal RNA", at positions 355 to 774 of the family's 1533-position model. The record is from RNAcentral.
UGGGGAAUUUUGGACAAUGGGCGAAAGCCUGAUCCAGCCAUGCCGCGUGAGUGAAGAAGGCCUUCGGGUUGUAAAGCUCUUUUAGUCGGAAAGAAAGAGUUGCAAUGAAUAAUUGUGAUUUAUGACGGUACCGACAGAAAAAGCACCGGCUAACUACGUGCCAGCAGCCGCGGUAAUACGUAGGGUGCGAGCGUUAAUCGGAAUUACUGGGCGUAAAGGGUGCGCGGGCGGUCUUGCAAGUCAGAUGUGAAAGCCCCGGGCUUAACCUGGGAAUUGCGUUGGAAACUACAAGGAGAGAGUGCAGCAGAGGGGAGUGGAAUUCCAUGUGUAGCAGUGAAAUGCGUAGAGAUGUGGAAGAACACCGAUGGCGAAGGCAGCUCCCUGGGUUGACACUGACGCUCAUGCACGAAAGCGUGGGGAGCAAACA